RNAcentral lists this ribosomal RNA (253 nucleotides) under uncultured bacterium. RNAcentral's name for it is "partial 16S ribosomal RNA". It matches the Rfam family "Bacterial small subunit ribosomal RNA", at positions 524 to 776 of the family's 1533-position model. The record is from RNAcentral.
UACGAAAGGUGCAAGCGUUACUCGGAAUCACUGGGCGUAAAGCGCACGUAGGCGGACUUUCAGGUCAAUUGUGAAAUACCUGGGCUCAACCCAGGAACUGCAGUUGAAACCGUUUGUCUUGAAUACUUGAGAGGGUGGGGGAAUACCUGGUGGAGAAGUGAAAUUCGUAGAGAUCAGGUGGAACACCGGAGGCGAAGGCGCCUGCCUGGCAAUGUAUUGACGCUGAGGUGCGAAAGUGCGGGGAGCAAACAGG